Molecule: ribosomal RNA, 206 nt
Filed under: uncultured bacterium
Lineage: Bacteria
Description: partial 16S ribosomal RNA
Rfam family: Bacterial small subunit ribosomal RNA
Source: RNAcentral
GACGAACGCUGGCGGCGUGCUUAACACAUGCAAGUCGAGCGGUAAGGCCCUUUCGGGGGUACGACGAGCGGCGAACGGGUGAGUAACACGUGGGUGACCUGCCCUCAGCUCUGGGAUAAGCCUGGGAAACCGGGUCUAAUACUGGAUAUGACUCCAUGACGCAUGUUGUGGGGUCGAAAGCCUUGUGCGGCUGAGGAUGGGCCCGC